GACGAACGCUGGCGGCGUGCUUAACACAUGCAAGUCGAACGGUAAGGCCUUCGGGUACACGAGUGGCGAACGGGUGAGUAACACGUGGGUGAUCUGCCCUGCACUUUGGGAUAAGCCUGGGAAACUGGGUCUAAUACCGAAUAGGACCACGCGCUUCAUGGUGUGUGGUGGAAAGCUUUUGCGGUGUGGGAUGGGCCCGCGGCCUAUCAGCUUGUUGGUGGGGUAAUGGCCUACCAAGGCGACGACGGGUAGCCGGCCUGAGAGGGUGACCGGCCACACUGGGACUGAGAUACGGCCCAGACUCCUACGGGAGGCAGCAGUGGGGAAUAUUGCACAAUGGGCGCAAGCCUGAUGCAGCGACGCCGCGUGAGGGAUGACGGCCUUCGGGUUGUAAACCUCUUUCAGUAGGGACGAAGCGCAAGUGACGGUACCUAUAGAAGAAGGACCGGCCAACUACGUGCCAGCAGCCGCGGUAA
RNAcentral lists this ribosomal RNA (476 nucleotides) under uncultured bacterium. RNAcentral describes it as "partial 16S ribosomal RNA". It matches the Rfam family "Bacterial small subunit ribosomal RNA", at positions 28 to 523 of the family's 1533-position model. The record is from RNAcentral.